AUUAUUGAUGUUUUUUUUAAUGAUUAGAUUGAAGUAUGUGGUGAUAAAUAUAUAAUAUUCUUCAUAUCUUGUAAUCAUCAACAUGACAGUUGUCAUUCUGACAGAGAAAAACUUUUCUUCAUUCUAUCAAACCAAAUUUCAUCAAUAUAUUAUAUUGUUUUAUAUUCUAAUGUAUUAUCAGUAAUAAUAAUUAAUGUGAAAUUAUUCUGAUCUUAUUUUGAAAUGUAGAAUUUGCAGAUACGUCAUUGUGUGUGUUCCUCAUAGAACCUCUGAUGACAUGAGCUGAUCCUUGUGUUUGAUAUGAAGGUGAACACAGUACAUGUGGUGAACUUUGUGCUGUAUUGAUGAGCAGUUUAGUGAUCAGAGUCCAUGUAGUUUCCAGGAUCAGACUGAAUGCAGUGCAGUGCUGGAAGCUGCUGUUGACUGUGUGAAUGUGUGUCUGUGGCGCUCGUGGCUGCCGUCAAACUCCAGAUGAGCCGGUAGCGAAGCCCGUGGCGAGCGUGUACCCGGCGGCGCCCAGAGCCCGCCUGGAGGGCCGGAGCGCCCUGCUGUGUCUGGCCUCGGCCAUGUUUCCCCCUGUGGUCCGGUUCUCCUGGAAAAGACGAAAGGAGAACGGUCCUCUGGAGGAGCCGCCCCCCGCUGAGACAGAGCAGCUGGAGCUCAGAGAGUCGGGACGCGCCGCCGCCAUCUUGCUGAUCCAUCAGCCAGAGAGGAGCACAUAUAAUUACAGCUGCUACGUCCAGCACGAGGGGGGCAAAGCGGAGGCCCCACCAGGACCAGGUAAUGAAGGCUCGAGGCUCCAGCUCCAGCAGCUUCCCGUCCUCCAGAGAGAGAGCCGACAGACCUGCCGGCUGUGCAGCAAGCUGACUUGUCAGUGUCAGUGUCCUUCCAGUCUCAGUGCAGGGUGAAGCUGCUCUUGCUGCUGUACUCAGUGCUGAUAGUGAAGAGUCUGGUGUACUGCUGUGGACUCUCUCUGCUGAUGAUCCUCAGAAACAAGGGACCGUCCACCAAC
Chelmon rostratus (copperband butterflyfish) is the source of this 1012-nucleotide non-coding RNA. The record is from the annotation of a RefSeq genome assembly. Lineage: Eukaryota; Metazoa; Chordata; Actinopteri; Chaetodontiformes; Chaetodontidae.